Molecule: ribosomal RNA, 261 nt
Filed under: uncultured bacterium
Lineage: Bacteria
Description: partial 16S ribosomal RNA
Rfam family: Bacterial small subunit ribosomal RNA
Source: RNAcentral
CCGGCACGGGUGAGUAACGCGUAUGCGACCUGCCCGUUGCAGGGGGAUAAUCGGGAGAAAUCCCGUCUAAUACCGCGUAACGCCGCGGGGCUGCAUGGCCCUGCGGCCAAAGGGAGCGAUUCCGGCAACGGAUGGGCAUGCGUGACAUUAGCUAGUUGGCGGGGCAACGGCCCACCAAGGCGACGAUGUCUAGGGGUUCUGAGAGGAAGGUCCCCCACACUGGUACUGAGACACGGACCAGACUCCUACGGGAGGCAGCAG